This is a long non-coding RNA of Aedes aegypti (yellow fever mosquito), 993 nucleotides long. RefSeq lists it as uncharacterized. The record is from RefSeq and is a predicted model, not a curated record. NCBI's taxonomy places the organism in Eukaryota, Metazoa, Arthropoda, Insecta, Diptera, Culicidae. The transcript is spliced from 4 exons.
AGUCUAAGCUAAGCUAAGCUAAGCUAAAAUUUGAUACAUGGGCCGUCCGCUUGAUAUAAAAUUGCGAGCAUCAAUUAUCUUGCAAUCGCCAUUGUACCCUCACUUCCGACGCUCCCACGAAGAUCGACUACAUUGCACGGAAAGAAGCUCAGAAGAGCGUGAGCAGUGAUCAAGUGCGUAUGGCUGAAUUGUGCUGGGCGCUUCUAGUGAGUCGUUGCUGCCAAACCGAACUACGUCGGGAAACUCAUAUGGACUGGUAAAAUGCCGUAAUCUUUAUCACAACUCGUUAUCUUAAGGUGGAAUCCUUCCUCAUAUAGUGAGCAGUAUUCGCUCACCGGUACAUCAGACGAACUGCAGGAGGAUUGAAGAAACCCACGUGUGUACCCAGGGAGGUUUCCACCCACAUCGCACCACUGGUCAAUUGCAUGUCAUCCACGGCCGUUGGGCUACCACAAAGCGACCUAAACAUUACUAGCCCACUCCGAUGAGUCUGUAGCUCUUCACACCAAGGAAGGAGAUUCAAGGGCAAAAGCCUGAACAACGCUCGUACACAUCACCACUAUUGCGAAGCGAGAGAUUGCGUACUCUCUCAACACACAACCAAAAGGCCUCCAACAAUCGGAGGCCUUUUCUUCCCCAUACUCUAUUCUCAGCAGCUCCCAUUGAGAGAGCCGCACACGCAUGACAUCACUGGACCAUAGCGAUCGGGAUCACGCUCAAGAGCAGUGGGAUAGACGGUUGGCACAGUAAGCACCAGCUACCGUGGGCUACCCCUUCACGAUUGUCUGUUGGGAGAGAUCGGGCUUCAGCAGCGACCGCCAGCGAAGAAUCCACCAGCAUUACGCCAAUGCAUGCGCUGCAGUAACGCAACUCGGAUGGCACACCUCAACGUCACCAAAAGAUCAAGCGGACGGUACCAGAAAGAAUCACAAGAUGGGCCCAUCGUGAGUAGACAGUAAAUAUUGAUAACCUAGCAUAAGGCGGCAUCCACAA